UCCACGGCCACCACUGCCUCCCUCUACUUUCUCUUUCUCAUUAAUGGCCUCCUCCUUCUCGCCGCUCUCUCUCUCUCUCUAAAACCGUCUGUCUCUCUGUGGAAUUGACGAAGAUGAAGUCUAUGCAGCCGCGCUACAAUUUCUUACGGGAGACAAUGAAGCCAAGCCUCCCCAGUCGCCACUCGCCAAACUGUAGCUCCGGCAAGCCUCCAAGGAGAAUGCGCCUCUACCUUCAGAUCUAACUCAUCAUCCUUUUGAUUCUCACAGACGGAGAUUCCCAAACCCUCCCUCUUUCUAUCAAGAAUCGAUUCACCACAAUCCCUUUUUAUCCCGAUUCAAUUUCCCUAGUUUACAGAAGGUUUCCGGGAGCUUUAACUACCAAUUGGACUACAAUGAGAUCAAUUCAUGGAACUGCAUCUAUGGCUGCAAGAGAUUACUAUGAGACAGUUGGGGUUAGCAGGAAUGCAAGUGCAUCAGAAAUAAAGAAAGCUUAUUAUGGGGCAUUGCAGUUGGGACAAGACUCGGAACUUCUUCGGUCGUCUUUGAAAAUCUGGAAUUAGUAUGCAGUAAGAAGAAGGAACCAUCUGAGAAUUUCAAAGGCAAGGGUUGUGAACAUCUAGGUAUGGUUUCUGCAAUUUUGUUGCUUUAUAUUAGUUUGUUUU
Molecule: long non-coding RNA, 662 nt
Organism: Rosa chinensis
Lineage: Eukaryota; Viridiplantae; Streptophyta; Magnoliopsida; Rosales; Rosaceae
Exons: 5
Source: RefSeq, a predicted model, not a curated record